AUUGAACGCUGGCGGCAUGCUUUACACAUGCAAGUCGAACGGUAACAGGGUGCUUGCACCGCUGACGAGUGGCGAACGGGUGAGUAAUGCGUCGGAACGUGCCGAGUAGUGGGGGAUAACGCAGCGAAAGUUGUGCUAAUACCGCAUACGUACUGAGGUAGAAAGUGGGGGACCUUCGGGCCUCACGCUAUUCGAGCGGCCGACGUCCGAUUAGCUAGUAGGUGAGGUAAAGGCUCACCUAGGCGACGAUUAGUAGCGGGUCUGAGAGGAUGAUCCGCCACACUGGGACUGAGACACGGCCCAGACUCCUACGGGAGGCAGCAGUGGGGAAUUUUGGACAAUGGGCGAAAGCCUGAUCCAGCCAUGCCGCGUGUCUGAAGAAGGCCUUCGGGUUGUAAAGGACUUUUGUCAGGGAGGAAAUCCCUAGUGCUAAUAACACUGGGGGAUGACAGUACCUGAAGAAUAAGCACCGGCUAACUACGUGCCAGCCGCCGCAGUAA
This 500-nucleotide ribosomal RNA is filed under the name uncultured bacterium. Its description in RNAcentral is "partial 16S ribosomal RNA". It matches the Rfam family "Bacterial small subunit ribosomal RNA", at positions 30 to 523 of the family's 1533-position model. The record is from RNAcentral.